RNAcentral lists this ribosomal RNA (300 nucleotides) under uncultured bacterium. RNAcentral describes it as "bacterial SSU rRNA". It matches the Rfam family "Bacterial small subunit ribosomal RNA", at positions 775 to 1067 of the family's 1533-position model. The record is from RNAcentral.
GGAUUAGAUACCCUGGUAGUCCACGCUGUAAACGAUGAGUACUAGCUGUUGGAUCUGGUGUAAAAGAUUUAGUGGCGCAGCUAACGCGUUAAGUACUCCGCCUGGGGACUACGGCCGCAAGGUUAAAACUCAAAGGAAUUGACGGGGACCCGCACAAGCGGUGGAGCAUGUGGUUUAAUUCGAUGCAACGCGAAGAACCUUACCAGCCCUUGACAUCCCGGUCGCGAAUAGUGGAGACAUUAUUCUUCAGUUCGGCUGGACCGGUGACAGGUGCUGCACGGCUGUCGUCAGCUCGUGCCG